Molecule: ribosomal RNA, 405 nt
Filed under: uncultured bacterium
Lineage: Bacteria
Description: partial 16S ribosomal RNA
Rfam family: Bacterial small subunit ribosomal RNA
Source: RNAcentral
GAUGAACGCUGGCGGCGUGCCUCAUACAUGCAAGUCGCGCGAAGCGGGGACGGGUGAGUAACACGUGGAUAACCUCCUAUAAGACUGGGAUAACUUCGGGAACCCGGAGCUACACCGGUUACUUCUAGAUGGAUCCGCGCUGCAUUAGCUAGUUGGUAAGGUAACGGCUUACCAAGGCAACGAUGCAUAGCCUACCUGAGAGGGUGAUCGGCAACCCGGGAACUGAGACACGGGCCAGCCUCCUACGGGAGGCAGCAGUAGGGAAUGUUCCGCAAUGGGCGAAAGCCUGACGGAGCAACGCCGCGUGAGUGAUGAAGGUCUUCGGAUCGUAAAACUCUGUUAUUAGGGAAGCGGUACCUAAUCAGAAAGCCACGGCUAACUACGUGCCAGCCGCCGCGGUAAUAC